GACGAACGCUGGCGGCAUGCCUAACACAUGCAAGUCGAGCGAGUAGAUCCCUUCGGGGUGAAGCUAGCGGCGGACGGGUGAGUAACACGUGGGCAACCUGCCUCAUAGAGGGGAAUAGCCUUCCGAAAGGAAGAUUAAUACCGCAUAAGAUUGUAGUACCGCAUGGUAUAGCAAUUAAAGGAGCAAUCCGCUAUGAGAUGGGCCCGCGGCGCAUUAGCUAGUUGGUGAGGUAACGGCUUACCAAGGCGACGAUGCGUAGCCGACCUGAGAGGGUGAUCGGCCACAUUGGGACUGAGACACUGCCCAGACUCCUACGGGAGGCAGCAGUGGGGAAUAUUGCACAAUGGGGGAAACCCUGAUGCAGCAAUGCCGCGUGAGUGAUGACGGCCUUCGGGUUGUAAAGCUCUGUCUUCGGGGACGAUAAUGACGGUACCCGAGGAGGAAGCCACGGCUAACUACGUGCCAGCCGCCGCAGUAA
RNAcentral lists this ribosomal RNA (478 nucleotides) under uncultured bacterium. RNAcentral describes it as "partial 16S ribosomal RNA". It matches the Rfam family "Bacterial small subunit ribosomal RNA", at positions 28 to 523 of the family's 1533-position model. The record is from RNAcentral.